GUGUCAGCAGCCGCGGUAAGACGUAGGGCGCGAGCGUUGUCCGGAUUUAUUGGGCGUAAAGAGCUCGUAGGCGGCUUGUCGCGUCGUUCGUGAAAACCCGGGGCUCAACUCCGGGCUUGCGGGCGAUACGGGCAGGCUAGAGUUCGGUAGGGGAGACUGGAAUUCCUGGUGUAGCGGUGAAAUGCGCAGAUAUCAGGAGGAACACCGGUGGCGAAGGCGGGUCUCUGGGCCGAUACUGACGCUGAGGAGCGAAAGCGUGGGGAGCGAACAGGAUUAGAUACCCUGGUAGUCC
This 292-nucleotide ribosomal RNA is filed under the name uncultured bacterium. RNAcentral describes it as "partial 16S ribosomal RNA". It matches the Rfam family "Bacterial small subunit ribosomal RNA", at positions 505 to 796 of the family's 1533-position model. The record is from RNAcentral.